GAUGAACGCUAGCGGCAGGCUUAACACAUGCCAGUCGAGGGGCAGCGCGGGAUAGCAAUAUCCUGGCGGCGACCGGCGGAAGGGUGCGUAACGCGUCAGCGACAUGCCCGUUGCCCGGGGACAACCGGUGGAAACGCCGACUAAUCCCCGAUGGGAUACGAUGCUUCAUGGCAUUGUAUUGAAAGUUACGGCGGCGACGGAUUGGCUCGCGUCCGAUUAGCUGGUUGGCGGGGUAACGGCCCACCAAGGCUGCGAUCGGUAGGGGUUCUGAGAGGAAGGCCCCCCACAAUGGGACUGAGACACGGCCCAUACUCCUACGGGAGGCAGCAGUGAGGAAUAUUGGUCAAUGGGCGGAAGCCUGAACCAGCCAUGCCGCGUGCGGGAAGGAGGCCCUAUGGGCUGUGAACCGCUUUUGCCUGGGGGCAAUAAGGGCGUCGCGCACGUCCGAUGAGAGUACCAGGCGAAUAAGCAUCGGCUAACUCCGUG
Molecule: ribosomal RNA, 486 nt
Filed under: uncultured bacterium
Lineage: Bacteria
Description: partial 16S ribosomal RNA
Rfam family: Bacterial small subunit ribosomal RNA
Source: RNAcentral